UUUAGGGAGACCUAAUCCAUUUAGAAAUGUUAAGGAAAUUACCAUAACAACCUAAAUUGGUCUAACCUAGGUCGGUCGCAGACUUGAAGUAAGUCUUUCAAACUAUGAUUUGGUUCGAUAAGGGCUAUUAGCUCAGGUGGUUAGAGCGCACCCCUGAUAAGGGUGAGGUCCCUGGUUCGAGUCCAGGAUGGCCCACCUGAAGCAAGUCAAAAGUAAAAAGUCAAAGGUCAAAGGUAUAUUGCUUUUGAAUUUUGCCUUUGGAAUUUUGAGUUGUUUUUGGGGGUUUAGCUCAGUUGGUAGAGCGCCUGCUUUGCAAGCAGGAUGUCAGCGGUUCGAGUCCGCUAACCUCCACAUUGGAAAACCACAGCAACUAACAAAAGUUAGACUGCUGGAAUAAGUUCCAGUCAGAACCUUGAAAACUGCAUAAGAGAAAGAGUAAAAAAGCAGGCAGUCAUAACAGACUGCAAGUGGUCAAGCUAAUAAGGGCA
RNAcentral lists this transfer RNA (488 nucleotides) under Cuspidothrix issatschenkoi NRERC-662. RNAcentral describes it as "partial 16S-23S ribosomal RNA intergenic spacer". The stretch from base 279 to 351 matches the Rfam family "tRNA". RNAcentral also lists the same sequence under 2 other names. The record is from RNAcentral. Lineage: Bacteria; Bacillati; Cyanobacteriota; Cyanophyceae; Nostocales; Aphanizomenonaceae.